GGGCAAAUGACUGAGUGGUUUAAGGUUCCAGUUUUGAAAUCUGGUGUACAUAAGUACCGUAGGUUCAAAUCCUACUUUGUCCG
Molecule: transfer RNA, 83 nt
Filed under: Cafileria marina
Lineage: Eukaryota; Bigyra; Bicosoecida
Description: tRNA-Ser
Rfam family: tRNA
About the family: Transfer RNA (tRNA) molecules are approximately 80 nucleotides in length. Their secondary structure includes four short double-helical elements and three loops (D, anti-codon, and T loops).
Source: RNAcentral